UACGAGGAUUUCUCAUAUUUUUUUCACUUCCGGGCGCAGUAAUACGUAUGUUUUGAAGAAGCUCGAAGAAUUUGACAAAGUGAAUUGAGAAGGAAACGGAUAGAUAUACGUUCUUGCUAUCAGGGCACAAACCCACUUUAAAGAGACUUGUCUACUGCCAUACCCAUCCUAUUUUCAUGCACCAUUUGCAAGCAAGAGACUGAAUGGUUUGCAAAAUUAAAAAUCAGGACGGUGUCCAAUUAAAACAAAAGAACUAAACUGGAUGAAUAUUGUAGGAGAAAUCUAGACAUGCUAGAGGAAAGUUUUGAUUUGUGAAAUUGGUUUUCCUGAAAAGUCAUUCAUCCUAGCCUGCAGAAAGGAACUACUCCCUAUGGAAUUACUCAAGUACCAUCAAUGUCUAUGUUUUCAGCACAGAUUUCACAAUUUAUGACACAGCUGUGCUUUUUUUUUAUACCGUUAAAGAGUUGUAUACUAAAUUUUAUUUUUUUAUCAAUAAAUAUAUAUUAUAUUAA
Molecule: long non-coding RNA, 512 nt
Organism: Mytilus trossulus (common blue mussel)
Lineage: Eukaryota; Metazoa; Mollusca; Bivalvia; Mytilida; Mytilidae
Exons: 2
Source: RefSeq, a predicted model, not a curated record